Molecule: ribosomal RNA, 495 nt
Filed under: Triticum aestivum (bread wheat)
Lineage: Eukaryota; Viridiplantae; Streptophyta; Magnoliopsida; Poales; Poaceae
Description: partial small subunit ribosomal RNA
Source: RNAcentral
AUGAGGCGGCGUUGGCAAGCUCUCUCCCUCUGUCUUGUCAUCCUGCUCUUCAUCCUUGUCUCGUCCAGCGCUUCCACUCUACAAGACACGUGCAAGACCGUCGCCGUAAAUAACAAGGACAUCGGCUAUGACUAUUGCAUCAAGUUUUUCCAGGCCAACAAUGCCAGCGCCACCGCCGACAAGCGCGGCCUCGGCGACAUCGCCACCAAGAUUAGCCGCGCAGCAGCCUUGGACAUCCGCAAGCGCAUCGACACCCUCAUGGCUUCGGAGAAGGACAAGACGGUCCAUGGGCGCCUCUCCGACUGCCGCGUGCUGUACUCAGCCGCGGUCAACAUGCUCGAGUCGGCGGCAAACCUCAAUGCCGUGAUAUCGGGCACCGACACCUGUGAGCAAGGGUUCCGCGUGCUAGGCGUUACUUCACCACUAGCCGCCGAUGACGCCAACUUCAUUAAGGACUGCUCCAUUGCUCUUAUUAUCACGAGCUCGUUGUUGUAA